AAACCAGCACCUCAAGUGGUCAGGAGGAUUAUUGGGCCUAAAGCAUCCGUAGCCUGCUUUGUAAGUUUUCGGUUAAAUCCAUAUGCUCAACAUAUGGGCUGUCGGGAAUACUGCAUAGCUAGGGAGUGGGAGAGGUAGACGGUACUCCAUAGGAAGGGGUAAAAUCCUUUGAUCUAUGGAAGACCACCUGUGGCGAAGGCGGUCUACCAGAACACGUUCGACGGUGAGGGAUGAAAGCUGGGGGAGCAAACCGGAUUAGAAACCCCAGUAGUCC
This 274-nucleotide ribosomal RNA is filed under the name uncultured bacterium. RNAcentral describes it as "partial 16S ribosomal RNA". It matches the Rfam family "Archaeal small subunit ribosomal RNA", at positions 473 to 747 of the family's 1478-position model. The record is from RNAcentral.